Molecule: ribosomal RNA, 748 nt
Filed under: uncultured cyanobacterium
Lineage: Bacteria; Bacillati; Cyanobacteriota
Description: bacterial SSU rRNA
Rfam family: Bacterial small subunit ribosomal RNA
Source: RNAcentral
AGAGUUUGAUCCUGGCUCAGGAUGAACGCUGGCGGUCUGCUUAACACAUGCAAGUCGAACGGGCUCUUUCGGGAGCUAGUGGCGGACGGGUGAGUAACGCGUGAGAAUCUGCCAAAAGGACUGGGACAACCACUGGAAACGGUGGCUAAUACCGGAUGAGCCGCAACGUAAAAGAGGAAACUCGCCUUUUGAGGAGCUCGCGUCUGAUUAGCUAGUUGGUGAGGUAAGAGCUCACCAAGGCAUCGAUCAGUAGCUGGUCUGAGAGGAUGAUCAGCCACACUGGGACUGAGACACGGCCCAGACUCCUACGGGAGGCAGCAGUGGGGAAUUUUCCGCAAUGGGCGAAAGCCUGACGGAGCAAGACCGCGUGAGGGAGGAAGGCUCUUGGGUUGUAAACCUCUUUUGUCAGGGAAGAACACAAUGACGGUACCUGAAGAAUCAGCAUCGGCUAACUCCGUGCCAGCAGCCGCGGUAAUACGGGGGAUGCAAGCGUUAUCCGGAAUUAUUGGGCGUAAAGCGUCCGCAGGUGGCUAAUCAAGUCUGCUGUCAAAGGUUGGGGCUUAACCCCAAAAAGGCAGUGGAAACUGAGAAGCUAGAGUGCAGUAGGGGUAGAGGGAAUUCCCGGUGUAGCGGUGAAAUGCGUAGAGAUCGGGAAGAACAUCGGUGGCGAAAGCGCUCUACUGGACUGCAACUGACACUCAGGGACGAAAGCUAGGGGAGCGAAUGGGAUUAGAUACCCCUGUAGUCC